AGCCACAGCCAUAUCACCAUGCAGCCCAAGACCGGUUACUCACUGAAGCUAAGCAGGGCUGAGUCUGGUCAGUACCUGGAUGGGAGACCACUAGGGAACACUAAGUGGUGUUAGUG
This 116-nucleotide ribosomal RNA is filed under the name Danio rerio (zebrafish). The record is from RNAcentral. Lineage: Eukaryota; Metazoa; Chordata; Actinopteri; Cypriniformes; Danionidae.